This 281-nucleotide unclassified non-coding RNA is filed under the name uncultured fungus. Its description in RNAcentral is "partial contains 5.8S ribosomal RNA, internal transcribed spacer 2, and large subunit ribosomal RNA". The stretch from base 1 to 52 matches the Rfam family "5.8S ribosomal RNA", at positions 103 to 154 of the family's 154-position model. Lineage: Eukaryota; Fungi. The record is from RNAcentral.
AACGCACAUUGCGCUUCUUGGUAUUCCAGGAAGCAUGCCUGUCUGAGCGUCAGUUAAUAUCUCAAUCCCCAAUGGGGUUGGUAGUGAGCUGUGCGAAUGAUGAUAUUUCGCUGGCUUGAAAGAGAUGGGGCGUCGUGGCCUGGUUUACAGUGUGAUAGGUUUUACCAACUCGCUGGAGCGGGCCUGAUCGCGAAGCCCAAACUUCUUCUCUAGGGUUCCCUUGCGGAAGAAACAUUUGAUCUUUUGACCUCAGAUCAGGUAGGAUUACCCGCUGAACUUAA